Molecule: ribosomal RNA, 487 nt
Filed under: uncultured bacterium
Lineage: Bacteria
Description: bacterial SSU rRNA
Rfam family: Bacterial small subunit ribosomal RNA
Source: RNAcentral
UCCUGGCUCAGGACGAACGCUGGCGGCGUGCUUAACACAUGCAAGUCGAACGGGGCGAAGUGAUAGCUUGCUAUUAUGGAGCCUAGUGGCAAACGGGUGAGUAACGCGUAGGCAACCUGCCCUUCAGAUGGGGACAACACCUCGAAAGGGGUGCUAAUACCGAAUGACGUUUCCUAGUCGCAUGACCUGGAAACCAAAGGCCGGGCAACCGGUCACUGAAAGAUGGGCUCGCGUCCGAUUAGCUAGAUGGUGAGGUAACGGCUCACCAUGGCGACGAUCGGUAGCCGGACUGAGAGGUUGAUCGGCCACAUUGGGACUGAGACACGGCCCAGACUCCUACGGGAGGCAGCAGUGGGGGAUAUUGCACAAUGGGCGAAAGCCUGAUGCAGCGACGCCGCGUGAGGGAAGACGGUUUUCGGAUUGUAAACCUCUGUCUUCGGGGACGAAAAUGACGGUACCCGAGGAGGAAGCCACGGCUAACUACGUG